This 268-nucleotide ribosomal RNA is filed under the name unidentified gamma proteobacterium groupD. RNAcentral describes it as "partial 16S small subunit ribosomal RNA". It matches the Rfam family "Bacterial small subunit ribosomal RNA", at positions 1106 to 1373 of the family's 1533-position model. The record is from RNAcentral. Lineage: Bacteria; Pseudomonadati; Pseudomonadota; Gammaproteobacteria.
UAUCCUUAUUUGCCAGCGCGUUAUGGCGGGAACUCUAAGGAGACUGCCGGUGAUAAACCGGAGGAAGGUGGGGACGACGUCAAGCCAUCAUGGCCCUUACGGGAUGGGCUACACACGUGCUACAAUGGCAGGUACAGAGGGCAGCAAUACCGCGAGGUGGAGCGAAUCCCACAAAGCUUGUCGUAGUCCGGAUUGGAGUCUGCAACUCGACUCCAUGAAGUCGGAAUCGCUAGUAAUCGUAGAUCAGAAUGCUACGGUGAAUACGUUC